Molecule: long non-coding RNA, 2258 nt
Organism: Homo sapiens (human)
Lineage: Eukaryota; Metazoa; Chordata; Mammalia; Primates; Hominidae
Gene: ERICH2-DT
Product: ERICH2 divergent transcript
Source: Ensembl
GGGCGCACACACCCUCGGAUUGACGUGCGCACGCGCACCGGUUACCUUCAGGAGCGCCGAAGAAGGAAAGAAGAACACAGAGCCCGAGGCAAAGCUUAAGUGCUUACGCUUUUGUCGGGAGGUACAGACCCAGCUCUGCGAGAGCCAGGGGAAAAGGAAGAGAGGCAGGGAAGGAAUGGCAGCAAGUACAAGGUGAUGAAUGACUGCACUGGCCAUUGCUUCAUGAAGAGCCACGAAAAAACAGAGCCGGUUUCUCAGCAGGUGGCUGGCUGCUCAGUCACAAAGGACCUCUUUGGACAGGCUUUAUGGAAAUACUGUGCCUAGGACAGUCGCUCAAAGGCAGGAGGGAGAGAAAAUGCAUCUGCAAGCUCACUUUGUCUUCUUUCUUCUGCUGGUCAAAAUUUGCUGGCUGGGGCAGUUAACGCCCUCACACAUCCGAGUUGUGUCACCUGGCCCCUUUGGUAGCCACUGGGGAAGCCAGAUCUAGGCAUGUGGCCUGAUGGCUCCUGCGGUGGAACCACAUGCUCACACUCAGUCAGUCACCACUGGGAUGCCCUGGGCAGGGCAGGCUGAGUGGCUGGGAGAUAGCUGAGCCUAAGAUAUCUAAGCAAGCACCUGUGAUGUAUGCACUGCAGUGUCCAAAUGUGAAAAAGCAAGAAAGGGAGAUAGAAGCAUAUUUUUUUCUGGAGAGAAGGAGGAAACCACCAGGAGAAUACAAACAGAAAAAAGCUUCCUGAGAGUGUAAAGCUCGUGUCUGUUCUGCUGUCUGCUGUUUCCCUGGCGCCUGACACAGUGACUGCCACAUGAGAAGAGCCCCUAAAAUAGUGAAAUAAAUGAAGAAUCACAUGAGUGAAAUCCUCUUGGUACCUGAGUAUGGGCAAAGCUGGAAAACAGUGAUGGAGUUUUCCAUAGCAGCAUCCUAAGAAGACACCCUUAAGCUAGUGAGAACGCAUUUUGAGGACAUCAGCAAACACAGCCUAAGAGGGGCUUAAAUGGUGAUAUCACCUGGGCUUGCUUUCUCAGGUACUCUUUUAAAAGGAUGUAAUUCACAGCUGUCCCAAGAAGACUCACCAGGAACACCGUUAAUAACUGCCUUAGAAGCAUUUUGUGAUCUAUCAUUUAGGAUAUUUGUUUAGUUGCUGUAACAGGUACCAAGUAACCAUGGCUUAAACAAGAUGGUCUGUCUUUCAAAUAAAAGUCCAGCUGGUAGGCAGCCCAGGAAAGGUGGGCUGCUCUGCUUCUUGUGAUGGUCUGAGGACCCUUAUGCCUUCUGUUUUGUUGCUUUGCCAUCCUCUCGGGUGUUGUCCUAUCCACAUGAUUGAGUUAAAUGCCCAACAUUAUGUCCGCAUUCCAGCCUCAAGAAAGAGGAAAGAAGAAAGGGAGAGCAUGCAACUUUCUUUUAAGGAUGUGACCUAGAAGUGACAUACAUCACUUAGGCUCACAUGCCAUUGGUGGGAACUUAGUCAUAUGGCCACAACUAGUUGCAAGUGAGGCUGGGAUAUGUCAUCUCUAGAUGGACAAUCAUGUACCUCCCAAAAACUUGGGGAUUACUAUUACCAAAAGGAAGAAAGAAAAUAUGAAUGGGUGGGAUUGGCAGUCUCUCAUCAGUAGGAAAGCAUCAUGACUGAUGCUGAGAAACUCUUUGCCCAAGUCUUUAUGGCCUAUAUAUGUAACUCCAUAUUACUGACAGUGUGCAUCACAGGGUGUGGUAGGUGGCUUCUAAAAUGGCCUCAAAUGAUUCCUGUCUCCUGGUACUCAUGCCCUUGUGUAAUCCCUUUUUCUUGAAUGACUUCCUUCAAGUUAAUAGACUGUUGAUAGGCUGCCACUUCUAUGAUUAGAUUAUUAAAGAUGUACCUCCAUUUUCCUAGCUGACUUUAUUGCCUUUGCAGCUUGCAAGCUUUGAUGAAGCAGCCAUGUUGGGGAGGCCCAUAUAGCAAGAAACCAAAGUCAGUCUCCAGGCAAUAGCCAACAAAGAACUGAGGUCCUCAGUCCAAUAGCCCACAAAGAACUGAAUCCUACCAAUAACCACUUGAGUUUGGAAAUGGAUCCCUUACCAAUCGAGCCUUCAGAUUAGACCCCAGCCUUGGCUGACACCUUCACUGUAGCCUUUUAUGUAAGAUCCUGAAGCAGAUGACGCAACUAAACUGUGCCUGGACUUCUGAUGCACAGAACCCGUGAGAUAAUAAAUACUGCCAGCUCCGUGACAGCAAGAACCUUGUAUGACUUUUUCAUGAUGGAUGUUCAUCUGUGCCAUCUGU